This is a non-coding RNA of Chlorocebus sabaeus (green monkey), 346 nucleotides long. NCBI's taxonomy places the organism in Eukaryota, Metazoa, Chordata, Mammalia, Primates, Cercopithecidae. The record is from RefSeq and is a predicted model, not a curated record.
UCAUCACAAAGAAUAUGUGCUCAUUAAGAAUCAGAAUGUUCAAUUGUGUGAAGAUGGGAAAUGGGGAGAUUGGUAUUAUGGCCUUGGAUCCAGAAAUCAGUCCUCCACUACGUAAAUGGGAAUUAAAAGAUGAUCAGAAGACAGUUGGGAGCAGAGUGAGAAUAAGAACCUUCAACUGCCGUCUCACCUUUCAGAUCACGAAGAAGUUUUUCACAAUGAGCAGAACACUCAACCUGAAAGCGGAAUGGAUUGAGUCACUGCAGCGUGGCAGUGGAAUGGUGCUUGAUGUUGGCAAAGGAAACAUGUACUUCUAGACUUGACACUUUUCCCUUAGUUUACAGUUUCC